CCUNAUACCGGANNCCCCCUACGGGAGAAAGCAGGGGACCUUCGGGCCUUGCGCUAUCAGAUGAGCCUAGGUCGGAUUAGCUAGUUGGUGAGGUAAUGGCUCACCAAGGCGACNAUCCNUAACUGGUCUGAGAGGAUGAUCNNUCACACUGGAACUGAGACACGGUCCAGACUCCUACGGGAGGCAGCAGUGGGGAAUAUUGGACAAUGGGCGAAAGCCUGAUCCAGCCAUGCCGCGUGUGUGAAGAACGUCUUCGGAUUGUAAAGCACUCUUAAGUUGGGAGGAAGGGUUGUAGAUUAAUACUCUGCAAUUUUGACGUUACCGACAGAAUAAGCACCGGCUAACUCUGUGCCAGCCAGCCGCGGGAAUACAGAGGGUGCAAGCGUUAAUCGGAAUUACUGGGCGUGAAGAACGCCCAC
This 419-nucleotide ribosomal RNA is filed under the name Pseudomonas sp. AZ22R7. Its description in RNAcentral is "bacterial SSU rRNA". It matches the Rfam family "Bacterial small subunit ribosomal RNA", at positions 162 to 574 of the family's 1533-position model. Lineage: Bacteria; Pseudomonadati; Pseudomonadota; Gammaproteobacteria; Pseudomonadales; Pseudomonadaceae. The record is from RNAcentral.